CCUUUGUACACACCGCCCGUCGCUACUACCGAUUGAAUGGUUUAGUGAGGUCUUGAGAUUGGCUUCGGGGAGCCGGCAACGGCACCUUGUUGCUGAGAACUUGAUCAAACUUGGUCAUUUAGAGGAAGUAAAAGUCGUAACAAGGUUUCCGUAGGUGAACCUGCGGAAGGAUCAUUAAUGAAUUUUGAAAGGGGUUGUAGCUGGUCUUUUCCGAGACAUGUGCACGCCCUGCUCAUCCAUUCUACCCCUGUGCACACUCUGUAGGUCGGUUUUGAAGCGAUUCCUCACGGAAUCGCUCGGGCCUUCCUAUGUUUUCAUACAAACACUUUAAAGUCAAAGAAUGUAAUCGCGUGUAACGCAUUUAAUACAACUUUCAGCAACGGAUCUCUUGGCUCUCGCAUCGAUGAAGAACGCAGCGAAAUGCGAUAAGUAAUGUGAAUUGCAGAAUUCAGUGAAUCAUCGAAUCUUUGAACGCACCUUGCGCUCCUUGGUAUUCCGAGGAGCAUGCCUGUUUGAGUGUCAUGGAAUUCUCAACCCUCUUAUCUUUGUUAUGAGAUGGGCUUGGACUUGGAGGUUAUUGCCGGCUGGUCAUGAGUCUGGCUCCUCUUGAAUUCAUUAGCUUGAACCCUUGUGGAUCGGCUACUCGGUGUGAUAAUUGUCUACGCCGUGUGCUGUGAAGCUUUCAAACACUUUGUUGUGUUGAGGGAUUUGCUUCUAAUCGUCCUUCAAUGGACAAUUUUUGACCUCUGACCUCAAAUCAGGUAGGAUUACCCGCUGAACUUAAGCAUAUCAAUAAGCGGAGGAAAAGAAACUAACAAGGAUUCCCCUAGUAACUGCGAGUGAAGCGGGAAAAGCUCAAAUUUAAAAUCUGGCGGCUUUUGGCUGUCCGAGUUGUAGUCUGGAGAAGUGCUUUCCGCGCUGGACCGUGUACAAGUCUCUUGGAACAGAGCGUCAUAGAGGGUGAGAAUCCCGUCUUUGACACGGACUACCAGUGCUUUGUGAUGCGCUCUCAAGAGUCGAGUUGU
RNAcentral lists this ribosomal RNA (1025 nucleotides) under Polyporales sp. 3 SR-2012. RNAcentral describes it as "eukaryotic LSU rRNA". The stretch from base 748 to 1025 matches the Rfam family "Eukaryotic large subunit ribosomal RNA", at positions 1 to 273 of the family's 3401-position model. Lineage: Eukaryota; Fungi; Basidiomycota; Agaricomycetes; Polyporales. The record is from RNAcentral.